RNAcentral lists this ribosomal RNA (435 nucleotides) under Triticum aestivum (bread wheat). RNAcentral describes it as "partial small subunit ribosomal RNA". The record is from RNAcentral. Lineage: Eukaryota; Viridiplantae; Streptophyta; Magnoliopsida; Poales; Poaceae.
AUGGAUCCAGCCGAGGUUCCUCACGGGGUCGAUCCCGCACCCAACUUGCCGUGUAUGGAUGGAAAGAGGCUGCGGCAAUCUGUGACGCCGGCUGACCCCGUGUACAAGGUGCUCGGCGACGACAACCUACUCAUCGAGAUCCUCCUCCUAAUCGGCUACCCAACUACCCUCGUCCGCGCUGCUCUCGUCUGCAAGCGCUGGCUCUGUCACGCCUCGGACCCCGCCUUCCUCUGCCGCUUCCACAAGCUCCACCCGCCCCGUCUCCUUGGCUUCUAUGUCGACACCGGGAGGUUUUGUAGCAGCUCACGCUUCGUGCCGAUGCUACCGCGCCCCCCAGAGUUCAACGCCAUCAUCCGCUCUGCAAGCUCCAUCCUGGAUGCCUGCAGUAACACACAUAAAUUCGUCUUGGACUCCUGCAAUGCAACGUCUUCAUGA